RNAcentral lists this ribosomal RNA (253 nucleotides) under uncultured bacterium. RNAcentral describes it as "partial 16S ribosomal RNA". It matches the Rfam family "Bacterial small subunit ribosomal RNA", at positions 524 to 776 of the family's 1533-position model. The record is from RNAcentral.
UACGAAGGAUGCAAGCGUUACUCGGAAUUACUGGGCGUAAAGCGUGCGUAGGUGGUCGUUUAAGUCCGUUGUGAAAGCCCUGGGCUCAACCUGGGAACUGCAGUGGAUACUGGGCGACUAGAGUGUGGUAGAGGGUAGCGGAAUUCCUGGUGUAGCAGUGAAAUGCGUAGAGAUCAGGAGGAACAUCCAUGGCGAAGGCAGCUACCUGGACCAACAUUGACACUGAGGCACGAAAGCGUGGGGAGCAAACAGG